GACGAAGGUGGCUAGCGUUGUUCGGUAUCACUGGGCUUAAAGAGUGUGUAGGCGGAAAGGUAAGCGUUUUGUGAAAGCCCCCGGCUUAACCGGGGAAUUGCUUGACGAACUGCCUUUCUUGAGGCAAGUAGGGGUGCAUGGAACUCUUGGUGGAGCGGUGGAAUGCGUAGAUAUCAAGAGGAACGCCGGCGGUGAAAACGGUGCACUGGGCUUGUACUGACGCUGAGACACGAAAGCGUGGGGAGCGAACGGGAUUAGAUACCCCCGUA
Molecule: ribosomal RNA, 269 nt
Filed under: uncultured prokaryote
Description: partial 16S ribosomal RNA
Rfam family: Bacterial small subunit ribosomal RNA
Source: RNAcentral